GUCUCUCUAGUCUCUUAAGUCUCUUAAUCUCUGUCCUUAAAGUCUCUCAUACACUCAUAAACACUCUCACCAAUCUCUCUCUCUAUAUCACCUAGAACAAGCUCUAAUCAUUCUUCAUUGAAGCUUAUACACACACACAUACUACCAGAGUAGAGAUCUCUUUAAAAAUCAUAUGGUAUCAGAGCCAGGUUCAUCAGAACCUGAGCUGUAGCUUC
Molecule: long non-coding RNA, 215 nt
Filed under: Brassica rapa (field mustard)
Lineage: Eukaryota; Viridiplantae; Streptophyta; Magnoliopsida; Brassicales; Brassicaceae
Description: long non-coding RNA (BRAP_LNC008048)
Source: RNAcentral